GCGGUCAUGGCGGAAUUGGUAGACGCGCUACCUUGAGGUGGUAGUGGGGCGACCCGUGGAGGUUCGAGUCCUCUUGACCGCACCA
RNAcentral lists this transfer RNA (85 nucleotides) under Alphaproteobacteria bacterium. RNAcentral's name for it is "tRNA-Leu". It matches the Rfam family "tRNA". Rfam says of the family: Transfer RNA (tRNA) molecules are approximately 80 nucleotides in length. Lineage: Bacteria; Pseudomonadati; Pseudomonadota; Alphaproteobacteria. The record is from RNAcentral.